RNAcentral lists this long non-coding RNA (316 nucleotides) under Theobroma cacao (cacao). RNAcentral describes it as "long non-coding RNA (TCAC_LNC002303)". Lineage: Eukaryota; Viridiplantae; Streptophyta; Magnoliopsida; Malvales; Malvaceae. The record is from RNAcentral.
UUCCCUGUCGGUCACCACAAAAACCUAGCUUUUUCUCUUUUUGUUUGCCUAAACCUAAUCUCCUCACUACUGCCCAAAGAACCAGAGCUCUCAUUUCCUCUACUAGCUCCAAAAGAUCAAACCUUUUUCCCUCUAGAAAAUACCCAAACUAGAACUAAAAAAAAAUUUAAACUCUAACCUCUUCCAUUUUGUACAUAUAUAUUUUUUGUCUUUCCUUUCUUCCACGACUUUUCUCCUUGGUUUUGGCCGGCUCUCUCAUACCAACACCAACCCCUCUUUUCUUCCUCACUCACAAAUCGACAACACUUCCUCCUUU